RNAcentral lists this ribosomal RNA (169 nucleotides) under uncultured bacterium. RNAcentral's name for it is "partial 16S ribosomal RNA". It matches the Rfam family "Bacterial small subunit ribosomal RNA", at positions 1324 to 1500 of the family's 1533-position model. The record is from RNAcentral.
AGCUGGAUUCGCUAGUAAUCGCGCAUCAGCCAUGGCGCGGUGAAUACGUUCCCGGGCCUUGUACACACCGCCCGUCAAGCCAUGAAAGCCGGGGGUACCUGAAGUACGUAACCGCAAGGAUCGUCCUAGGGUAAAACUGGUAAUUGGGGCUAAGUCGUAACAAGGUACC